This 86-nucleotide transfer RNA is filed under the name Clostridiales bacterium. Its description in RNAcentral is "tRNA-Leu". It matches the Rfam family "tRNA". From Rfam's summary of the family: Transfer RNA (tRNA) molecules are approximately 80 nucleotides in length. Their secondary structure includes four short double-helical elements and three loops (D, anti-codon, and T loops). Further hydrogen bonds mediate the characteristic L-shaped molecular structure. tRNAs have two regions of fundamental functional importance: the anti-codon, which is responsible for specific mRNA codon recognition, and the 3' end, to which the tRNAs corresponding amino acid is attached (by aminoacyl-tRNA synthetases). tRNAs cope with the degeneracy of the genetic code in two manners: having more than one tRNA (with a specific anti-codon) for a particular amino acid; and 'wobble' base-pairing, i.e. permitting non-standard base-pairing at the 3rd anti-codon position. The record is from RNAcentral. Lineage: Bacteria; Bacillati; Bacillota; Clostridia; Eubacteriales.
GCCGAAGUGGCGGAAUUGGCAGACGCACUUGACUCAAAAUCAAGCGAUCUCUGAUUGUGCCGGUUCGAGUCCGGCCUUCGGCACCA